AACGCACAUUGCGCCCGCCAGUAUUCUGGCGGGCAUGCCUGUUCGAGCGUCAUUUCAACCCUCAGGCCCCCAGUGCCUGGCGUUGGGGAUCGGCGCGGCGCCCCUCCGGGGGCGCUGCCGGCCCCGAAAUUCAGUGGCGGUCUCGCUGUAGCCCUCCUCCGCGUAGUAGCACAACCUCGCGGCCUGGAGCUCGGCGGUGGCCAUGCCGUAAAACACCCCACUUCUGAAAGUUGACCUCGGAUCAGGUAGGAAUACCCGCUGAACUUAA
This 268-nucleotide unclassified non-coding RNA is filed under the name uncultured fungus. Its description in RNAcentral is "partial contains 5.8S ribosomal RNA, internal transcribed spacer 2, and large subunit ribosomal RNA". The stretch from base 1 to 52 matches the Rfam family "5.8S ribosomal RNA", at positions 103 to 154 of the family's 154-position model. The record is from RNAcentral. Lineage: Eukaryota; Fungi.